Molecule: small nuclear RNA, 198 nt
Organism: Moschus moschiferus (Siberian musk deer)
Lineage: Eukaryota; Metazoa; Chordata; Mammalia; Artiodactyla; Moschidae
Gene: U2
Rfam family: U2 spliceosomal RNA
About the family: U2 is a small nuclear RNA (snRNA) component of the spliceosome (involved in pre-mRNA splicing).
Source: Ensembl
AUAGCUUCUCAGCCUUUUGGCUAAGAUCAAGUGUAGCAUCUGUUCUUAUCAUUUUAAUAUCUGAUACAUCCUCUAUCCGAGGACAAUAUAUUAAAUGGAUUUUUGGAGCAGGCUCCGGGAGUUGAUGAUGGACAGGGAAGCCUGGAGUCCUGCAGUCCAUGGGGUUGCAAAGAGUCGGACAUGACUGAGCAACUGAAC